AGCGAACAAGCAUUUAGAAAACAAUGAGCUUUUGAUGACAUAAUCUCUGCUCUAGAGAUUGUUACCAGAGUCAGAGAGGAAACAAAAAAAUAUAGAGCCUUAUAAUAUUUUACAUUUAAUCAAUGUAAGGACGCGGUUUCACGCGGUGUAGUGGAACCAAUUCGAGCUGGUCGAGCGGCUGCACAUACAUUAGCAUAUAUUAUAUAAAUACAAAAGUUUCCAGGGAAUCUCUACAUAAACACAUACAUGUCAGGAGAUUUUUAAUUUUGCUGAAGAUUUCCCCGGAUUAUCUGUCAUCCCGACUUUUCGCUUGAAUGAGGCGAUUUUACUUUACAUCGCGGGAUCGUUCACCUAAUUCUAUCAUCUAAAACAGUCUUCUUAUUUUUAACGUUAGAAGAGAAACUGUUUCAGAUAAAAAAGGGGCAAAAUUUAAGGGGGAGAAAGUUUUGUAAAAUAUGCGUGUUGAAGAGAGACUUGUCAAAGAUAAUAUCAUGAUAUCAAACUCUAGAUUAUACAAAGUUCUCUCGCGAUCGGGGGAAUUUACUUCUUCUCGUGCAAUCGUAGUUAAUUGUAACUCGCCAAUCUCCCAAUAGAAGAGGGGCGGCGUUAGAAAACACCAUGUAGCAUUAGAUUUACAUAGGCGGAGGAAAGCAGUAUUGGAUGCAAUUGCGUUAUGAAAAGUUGCGUGGUGGUGUAAUAAAAUAAAAUUUAUUUUUUUUUUUUUGCAUCUUUCGCGCGUGUAUAUGACGUUUAUCUGAAACGUUAUUUUUCUAUAGUUGGAAAUAUACGAGCACAAGGAGGUUUUGGAUGAUACUGGUAGAUGGACUACGCUGUUGUACAGUGUUGACACAUACGUAUCUACCAAAAGCAAAACGUAUGUUCAUUAUACAUAUACGUACACAUACGUGUGUGAAUAUAUACAUAUAUAUAUGCAUAUGAUGUCGCGAAUAAGAUCAAUAUGUUUACAGACACGUGCGUAUUACGUAACACACAUAUUCUUGUUCGAUGUCAUACGCAUGUAUGUGUGCAUAUGUAUAAUAUUGCAAUAAAAUUAAUACUAUAUUAUAAAUCUUCAUUCUAUUGCUGUGAUUUUUUGUGUAUUUUCCCUAUAUAUCUUUUACAUGUAUGUGCUUUUUUAUCAGUAAAAAAAAUAACAUUCUAAUUUAGAUACAAUAUAUUAAAGUCCUAUAUUAUAAUAUAGGAUUAUAAGUACACUAUAUGAUAUAUCUCGCGACGAUAAGGUUGUUCAUCAAAAUAUCGAGAUUGCAUGGAAAAUUGAACUCACAUUAAAGUUAAAUCAAUGUAUAUUUUUCUAAUUUAAAUUAUAAAUUCAAUUAGUCAAAUGAACUUCCCUAAAUUAAACUUUUUCUAUUCUUGACUAUUCUCUAUUCUCAAACACCAUUCAGAAUAGAGGGUUUGCCCGAUUAAAGCUCGCGCUCGCGUUAUUAUGGCCGAUUACAUAUGGCACUAUGAACACAAUUCUCGUUUCCCGCAAUUCGUCGCAACAGUUAAUUAAUAAUCGCUUGAAGGAAUAUUUCGAUCAUGGAUCUAGAACGGAACGACAAUAAUAUUUACGAUCUUGUAACGCAGUUAGUCGAACACACAUUGCGAAAGAAUCUUUUUGAGAAUGGAAAUUUUUAUGUGCCACCAAGGAACGAUAUUAAGAUAGUGAAACGUUUUCGUUCAAAGGCUUAUGAAAUAUUAUUAAACAAGAGUAAAAAAGUAUACCAAGAAAAUGUAAUAAAUUCUGAAAUUGAUCCCUUGAUGGAGAUAUUAAAGUAUGCCUUUGUACUCAAACUGUCCCUCAGACGUAUGUCGGAAGCAGAAAAGUUGGAAAAUUUAGUAAACGAAUUGUACAUUAGCACGGUUAAUGUAGAAACUGUUCUUCCAAUUUUAAGAUUGUUGAUAGAGCUUAAAAAUUUUCAGACUGAUACAGACACUAUACAAGAUGUAUUUCACUAUGGUAAAACCAAUCCUUGUUUGCCUGAAGACAUUACAUCCACAAAUGGUGUACCAAUGUUUCAAACAUAUCCCAUGGAAUCCUUUAUCAUGCCGGAGAAGUUUGAGGCCAUGUUGGGUAUUCGUAAAACUUCUACUAGGCAAAACAGACAUACAUUGGCUAAUUUUGUUAGUACAGUGUCCUUUGAAAAUCAACAUAUAUCAAAAACUGUAUUAGGAGUUGAAUCAAUUAGAUAUGAUUUUAGGUAUAAUAAUGCUAUUGAAAUGACUCCUUGCAUAUCGAGUUGCAGUACUGAGAAUACAAUAAAACAAAAUAACAUGUUUACUCCCUUUUCAACAAGUAUUAUGGUUGAACAAACAAAUAUGCUAUAUUCAUCUACACAAAGAUUUAUAUCAAAUAUAACUUUACCUUGUGAAUGGAUCCAAUCUGUAAAUUUUCAAAAUGAAAAUAAUUUAUGUGUUAUGCAUGCGUCAGAUAAUUCCAAUUGCAAUUUUAUGAAUGAAUCGGAACAUGUUAGAAAUAUUAAUCUAAUAUGGAAAGAUGUACAAGUUUCCAAUGAUCAUAUCUCAAAAUUACGAACGUGGGAAUCUUUCGGAGCUUCAGAGUCUUCCAAACAGUUACUAUUUGUCACUGAUUUGCCAGAGACAAUGCUGCACUUGGCAAGGAUAAGACAAACGAGUAUCUUAUCAGUGUUAUCAAAAAAGGCAAUGCAUUCCAUACCCCUGAUGCAAGAAAUUUCCCUCAAAAAAUUUGUAUUAGAUGUAAAAUUGUUGUUAUUUGGCAUAGAUUCAGAUUCUUUUAAAUAUAAUACUGUGAUAGGAUUUAAAUUGGAGGAAAAUAUUAGUGUGCAUGGUAUAAAUUCGGAUACAUUGAAGAUUACUUGCCAAGAAGCAAUUUGUUGGGGCAAUAGUUUUAAAGCUCUAUUACUUCUUGUCACGUCUGAUCCACAAACGGGCAAGUUACAACAGGAUGGUCUUAUAUUCAAAGCGAUGUGUACCAAUGUCAAAGAGCUGCUCUUAUAUUAUCGGUCAGCAUUACAAAGAAUUCUUGAUCGAUAUGAAUUUGAUGGAUUGUUAAAUCUCUUGAAAAAGGUUCGGCCACUGGCACUUUUAAUUGUUGAAGUGGCAAGACUGUGCGGUCACUGCAGUCACACUCAAUGCAGCUUAGGCAAUGGAAUUUUAACGCACAUUUAUAAAGAAGUGACCAAAGUCACUAAUCCAAAAGUUGCCUUGGUGUUUUACUCUAUAUUAAAAUCGUGCUGCGAAGUCUAUUUUCGAUUGCUGCAGAACUGGUUAUUCGAAGGAACAUGCGACGACGUUUAUGGAGAAUUUAUGAUUCAGUCUCGAUCUCAUAAUCUACGAAAGAGAGGACGUAAAUUUUGGACGGAGGGCUUUGCAAUCGAUACCGAAUCAAUACCUGGUUUUUUAUCCAAACUAUCAGAGCCGAUAUUGCAAUGCGGGAAGACGCUGCGACUUUUAAAAAUUUGUAAUCCAAAGAAUCCUGUAUGCAAUGUGUCUUUCAAUGCUCCACCGGAAGUAAAGGUUUGUUUGAGCGUGUCCAUGUUGCGAGAACAGAUGCUAAGAUGUCAGGAAUAUAAGCGUGAAAGUGAAGCGGCAUUGGGACCAAUUGUAUCUCUUUUAUCCGCGAUUCAAGAUGAAAAGAAAGCCGAGAGGGAAACGGCUGAACUGGUGAUACGCGCGCAACAUGAAACGUUAUCGAGGCUAAAUAAGGAACGUCAAGAACUUGUCGCGACGACAGCACAACGUAAACGAGAAUUAUUGCAAGAAUUGAAACACCAGGCAGAAGAGAGUGCUUUGUUUAAAGAAAAAAAGAAAGAAUUGGAAAUGCUAGCUGAUAAAUUAUUGCUCGAAAAACUUGAUCGAGAACAGGAAGAAAUACGAGAGCAACAACAGGUUGAGCGAAAACAUCUUACAAAUUACUAUGACAAAUUGACCACUGACUUAGAGUCCAAUCGUAUACGAUCAAAUUGGCGUAAGGUGAGAAUGAGUCAUUUUGAAAGACGCGUAGAACAUUUGAAAUCUACAAAAAAACUCGAUAAAGAAAUAUUGGAAAGUGUCGUCACACUAAGUUUGGAUGAAAAUAUAAUCAAUACUGACGAACAAAAUAAAAAUAUUUCUAUUCCAUCCAGCAUGGAUGUGUCUACAUCUGAAGUGGAAGUUGUGUCUAGUCAAGAUGAAAAUAGCAACUUUUCAGAAAAUGAAAUAUUGAAUACAGUGACAAUAGAUGUUUCUAAUCAAAACGAUACUAAGGGAAAUUUAUCAAUUGCCAAUAUUGCGAGCUCUGAUAUCUCAUCUAGCAAGACCAAUAAAAAUAUUGUUUCGAACGAGAAUGAACAUUUACCACAAGAAUCUUUACCAUUAAACAUUUACAAAAAGAAUAAUGAGAGGAGCAGUCUACAGGAAAAUUUAUCUAAUAUUGGGAGCUCUGAUAUCUCAUCUAGCAAUAUCAAUAAGGCUAUUAUAUCGAAUGAACAUUUACCGCAAGAAUCUUUACCAUUAAACAUCUACAAAAAAAAUAACGAGAGGAGCAAUCUGCAAGAUUUUCUACGUGACGAAGCAAUGAAGACUAUUCGUACGAUUAUGAACGAUAAACAAAUGGCUGCAGUUAAUAUUCGUUCAAGUAAUAUCUUCGAAAGUGACGAAAUUACUGAGAAAUUAGUUGGUACUAUUAAUAGGCCUAAAUCCUUAGUUAUUGAGAGGAUAGAUAAUAUGAACAUAGCACAAACCAACAAACUUAAAGUACUGUUACAAGAAUACGGUAUGACUCCGAAUAAUAAUGAGUUUAGUGCGAUACUAACAGAUAAACAAGAUAAUAUUAAUUGCACAAAUAUAAACGACAAUAACGAGACUAAUAAGCAAAGUUUAGGCAAUACGAAAGAAAAUGGAAACAAUAAUAUUUCUCCAACAUCUGAUAUCAAAUUGACAAAAGAAGAAAUAACAAUUACAAAUGGGCCUAUAAAUAAUGAAGAAUGUUCAAAUAAGAUUAAUGAUUUUAAAGAGCAAGAUCCGAUAUUGAAUAAUUUUCAACGACAAAAUAAUAUAGAUACGCCAAUGUCAUGUACGACUGACAAUUUUACCACGUUAUCGACACAUACUCCUCUGUCACAGAUACCAAACAGCGAUGAUAUAUUCGCUCUAAACAUCGGUCAAGAAUCAUUAUCCGACAUGACAAAAUCAAUCAUGACGGAGGAGACAUACUUUGAAUCUCCGAUGAGUGGUAAUUUUAAAUUGCCGAAUCUGUUUGGCAUUAUAGGUCCCGAUGCGAAAUCAUCGUCGGUCUCAUCGUCAUCUCUGACCAUAGCCGAUGUUGAGAUGAUUGAUCAUACCUCGCUCCAGGUAUAUUUAGAAAAAUCCAUCAUCAUUCCUCUGCAGAUACAAACUCGGCUGGUUAACAACGCGAUUAUCAAAUAUCUAGUGAACGAGUGCAACAUACUUUCGCAUUUGCAUAGUCUACGCAGUUACUUCUUUCUAUUGAACGGCGAAUUCGCAAAGAGUCUAACGGACUCGCUUUAUUCUCGCCUUUACACAAUAUCCGAGCCGAUCGAGCUCUUCAAUUCUGCCACUCUUACGAAUCUCCUGGAAAAGGCGUUAAUGAACUCAUUCAGUAAUAAUUACGCUAAUUCGGAACUUUUGAGUCUUUCCGCUAUCGAUCAACCAUCCCAGUUAUAUAUUUCAGAUCCAAAUGUUUUGGAAUGUCUUUGCCUAAACUAUAAAAUAGCAUGGCCGUUAAAUAUUAUCUUGGAUGAUACGAUGAUGCUGCAAUAUAGCAAAGUGUUUAAAUUCCUAAUAACGACUGGUAGAAUGUCGUGGGUAUUGCAGGAGGACUUCAAUAUAAUGAAGUUAGAACGUAACGUAGUCAACUCGGAGCAAUAUCACAAGUUGCAGUUGUACAGACACUCCAUGACCCAAUUCACAAAUGCUCUUCACAAUUAUUUAACGUGUAGCGUGUUGCACGCAAGUUGGAGCGAGUUCGAAAAGGAUUUACAGAAUUCUCGAACAAUAGAUCAGAUUUAUCUCUCGCACGUAAACUACAUUAAAAGAAUACUUUCGAGAUGUAUGCUUCAUACGCGCGGAGAAAAGAUGCGUGUGUGCUUAAUCAAUAUCUUUAAGAUCAUACUAAAGUUUCACAAUCGCUUAAGAUCGCAAGCUUGGAGGAUCGAUAGUGAUAAUACAAGCCGAUACAGUCAUCCAAAUUUCAAAAGUUUGGAGCAGAUGUAUCAAUCGUUUUGCGAAUGGCGGACAUACAUGGCGCACGUCGCGCACAAAUUUUCCACCAGUGGAUAUCAGCCGCACCUGACGCAUUUUCUCAACGCUUUAAAUAUAAAUCAUAUGUAUGAUUUAACGGCAAAACAAUAAUAUAUAAAAUUUCGUUCUCAUUCGUGUUUCCAUUUACAAUCGAUAUAUCGUAAAAAGAGUAAGGUGAUUCUAUCAACGUAAUUGACGAGAGUUGUAAAAUAUCACAAAAUUCCGAUGUGGAAGAUUCUCGAUGUUUUUGAAGUAUCUAUGAAUAGAGAGACAGAUAUGCGAUUUAUA
This is an RNA transcript of Cataglyphis hispanica, 6513 nucleotides long. It is a transcript of the gene named gamma-tubulin complex component 6, with no coding region annotated. The transcript has 16 exons. The record is from RefSeq and is a predicted model, not a curated record. NCBI's taxonomy places the organism in Eukaryota, Metazoa, Arthropoda, Insecta, Hymenoptera, Formicidae.